Molecule: ribosomal RNA, 233 nt
Filed under: uncultured bacterium
Lineage: Bacteria
Description: partial 16S ribosomal RNA
Rfam family: Bacterial small subunit ribosomal RNA
Source: RNAcentral
UCCACGCCGUAAACGAUGAUCACUCGAUAUUGGCGAUACACAGUCAGUGUCCAAGCGAAAGUGAUAAGUGAUCCACCUGGGGAGUACGAUCGCAAGGUUGAAACUCAAAGGAAUUGACGGGGGCCCGCACAAGCGGUGGAGCAUGUGGUUUAAUUCGAUGAUACGCGAGGAACCUUACCAGGGCUUAAAUGCAGAACGAUCGUCCCGGAAACGGGAUUUUCUUCGGACGGUUU